Molecule: ribosomal RNA, 393 nt
Filed under: uncultured bacterium
Lineage: Bacteria
Description: partial 16S ribosomal RNA
Rfam family: Bacterial small subunit ribosomal RNA
Source: RNAcentral
AUACGGAGGAUCCGAGCGUUAUCCGGAUUUAUUGGGUUUAAAGGGAGCGUAGGCGGGAGAUCAAGUCAGCUGUGAAAUGUAGAUGCUCAACAUCUGCACUGCAGUUGAAACUGGUUUUCUUGAGUGCGUAAGGGGCAGGCGGAAUUCGUCGUGUAGCGGUGAAAUGCUUAGAUAUGUCGAAGAACUCCGAUCGCGAAGGCCGCCUGCCGGGCCGCGACUGACGCUGAAGCUCGAAGGUGCGGGUAUCGAACAGGAUUAGAUACCCUGGUAGUCCGCACAGUAAACGAUGGAUACUCGCUGUCGGCGAUAUACGGUCGGUGGCCAAGCGAAAGCGUUAAGUAUCCCACCUGGGGAGUACGCCGGCAACGGUGAAACUCAAAUGAAUUGGCGGGG